Molecule: transfer RNA, 85 nt
Filed under: Candidatus Levyibacteriota bacterium
Lineage: Bacteria; Candidatus Levyibacteriota
Description: tRNA-Ser
Rfam family: tRNA
About the family: Transfer RNA (tRNA) molecules are approximately 80 nucleotides in length. Their secondary structure includes four short double-helical elements and three loops (D, anti-codon, and T loops).
Source: RNAcentral
GGAGAGGUGGCUGAGCGGUCGAAAGCACCGGUUUACUAAACCGGCGAAUCGCAAGAUUCCGGGGGUUCGAAUCCCCCCCUCUCCG